Molecule: non-coding RNA, 86 nt
Filed under: Clostridium botulinum A str. Hall
Lineage: Bacteria; Bacillati; Bacillota; Clostridia; Eubacteriales; Clostridiaceae
Also listed under: 5 other names
Source: RNAcentral
AGCUGUGAUGAGAAGAAGUAAAAAUAUAAAUUCUUUUAAAGAGAGCUUCUGGUUGGUGAAAAGAAGAAAAGAAAGAUAUUUUGAAU